Molecule: long non-coding RNA, 716 nt
Organism: Nicotiana tabacum (common tobacco)
Lineage: Eukaryota; Viridiplantae; Streptophyta; Magnoliopsida; Solanales; Solanaceae
Source: RefSeq, a predicted model, not a curated record
GAGCUUUCACUUUCCCAAUUCCUGUUUCUCUCUCAUGACUUCUCUCUCAUGGAUCGAGCUUCAAGCUCAUCAUCAACCACAAAUUUAACAAGAAGCAUGGAUUUUGUUCAAAGAGAAAGCAGGUCAAUCUGUGAAUGAUCCUAAUUUGUAUACAAUAGCAAGAGAUGUUGCAGAUGAAUGCAAGGGCCUUCCUAUUGCCCUUAUAACUGUUGGCAGGGCUCUUAAAGAUAGAGGCAAGACUUUUUGGGAGUAUGCACUUCUCCAGCUAAAAAGGAACGUUCCGACAAAUAUCCCGGGACUACUUAUGGAUGUGUAUCGGCCUCUGGAGUUGAGUUACACUCGUCUGGAAAGUAAUGAAACUAGAAUAAGGAAAUAGAAAUAGAAGAAGGAGAUGCUGAUACUUAGAAUCAAGAAGAAAAAGAAGAGGCGGAUGCUGGUGUUGCUGACCUUAAGCGGGGAGGCGGUCAUCGGAUGACUUCUUUUGGAAUGUAAAAUUCGCCAUAAUGAAGUAAUUAGUCGUGUUGUUGUGGUUGAUCGUUAUGCUCUCCUUGCAUUGCAGUGAAUGAGGAAGAAGAAGAUGACGAUGAGGAGGUACUGAAAGUUGAUUACUUCAAUAGUUUUCUAGUAUUUGUUAAAAUAAUCUGAAGAAAUUAGUUUGUACGUACAAUACAUUUAUUUUAGUCUCUAGAAUAACAUGGCAUUGUGCAAAUGAAUCA